This 574-nucleotide ribosomal RNA is filed under the name uncultured bacterium. RNAcentral describes it as "bacterial SSU rRNA". It matches the Rfam family "Bacterial small subunit ribosomal RNA", at positions 338 to 916 of the family's 1533-position model. The record is from RNAcentral.
CCUACGGGAGGCAGCAGUAGGGAAUAUUGGGCAAUGGAGGCAACUCUGACCCAGCCAUGCCGCGUGCAGGAUGAAGGCGUUAUGCGUUGUAAACUGCUUUUAUAUAGGAAGAAAGAGUUCUUGCGAGAACAGUUGACGGUACUAUAUGAAUAAGCACCGGCUAACUCCGUGCCAGCAGCCGCGGUAAUACGGAGGGUGCAAGCGUUGUCCGGAUUUAUUGGGUUUAAAGGGUGCGUAGGCGGUUUAUUAAGUCAGUGGUGAAAGACGGUCGCUCAACGAUUGCAGUGCCAUUGAUACUGGUAGACUUGAGUGAGAUUGAGGUAGCUGGAAUGGAUAGUGUAGCGGUGAAACGCAUAGAUAUUAUCCAGAACACCAAUUGCGUAGGCAAGUUACUAAGUCUCAACUGACGCUGAGGCACGAAAGUGUGGGUAUCAAACAGGAUUAGAUACCCUGGUAGUCCACACUGUAAACGAUGAUAACUAACUGUUGGCUUUCGGGUCAGUGGUACAGAGAAAUCGUUAAGUUAUCCACCUGGGGAGUACGCCGGNAACGGUGAAACUUAAUGAAUUGACGG